Molecule: ribosomal RNA, 268 nt
Filed under: uncultured bacterium
Lineage: Bacteria
Description: partial 16S ribosomal RNA
Rfam family: Bacterial small subunit ribosomal RNA
Source: RNAcentral
CGCAGCCUCGGGGGGCAGCAGUAGGGAAUCUUCCACAAUGGGCGAAAGCCUGAUGGAGCAACGCCGCGUGGGUGAAGAAGGUCUUCGGAUCGUAAAACCCUGUUGUUAGAGAAGAAAGUGCGUGAGAGUAACUGUUCACGUUUCGACGGUAUCUAACCAGAAAGCCACGGCUAACUACGUGCCAGCAGCCGCGGUAAUACGUAGGUGGCAAGCGUUAGCCGGAGUUAUUGGGCGUAAAGGGAACGCAGGCGGUCUUUUAAGACUGAUG